Small nuclear RNA from Meriones unguiculatus (Mongolian gerbil), 103 nucleotides. The record is from Ensembl. Lineage: Eukaryota; Metazoa; Chordata; Mammalia; Rodentia; Muridae.
UCACAGCAGCAGUGAAUGUGCCAAAAUGGAAAAUAUGCAGAGGAGAUUAGCAUGUCUCCUGUGCAGGGCUGACAUACAAAUUCACAAAGCAAUCUGUCCUUUC